Molecule: long non-coding RNA, 4563 nt
Filed under: Equus caballus (horse)
Lineage: Eukaryota; Metazoa; Chordata; Mammalia; Perissodactyla; Equidae
Description: lncRNA (ENSECAG00000048806.1)
Source: RNAcentral
UGAAAGCCCCUAGGACUGGAUAAGCUGAACAAGGUCUGCCGACAGCAUCCCUGAGCGUUUCCUAGAGACCCUUUGGAGAAGGCAGUGGGUGAGGUCACAAUUGAACCUUGAAAACUCAGUGCCACCACAGAGGAAGGAUUUGGCUGGGCCAUUGUUUGGACCAGGGUGGAUUUCCAGCAGAGACGUGGUCAGAGGACAGCUGCUCCCUGUGGCCCACCCCCGGCUCCCAGGAGCAGGGUGGUGGUGGCAAUGAGUGACAAGAGCUGACUGCUUCCUCUGAGCACCUCACCUCCACUUCCCCAGAUCAGCUAAGGUCCUCUCUUGGCAGGUGAGAAGAAGGACUUCAGGGACAUUUCCUGCAGACGGCAUGCUAGAUGCUGGGCUCGGCGCCGGUUUUAAAAACAUGCAAACAAACAAAAAGCCCCCAAGGGAGACUGUCCUGUAAAUAAAUAACCAAGGCUCACCGUAUAGAGUGCAGUAAUAGAGGAUGCUGUCAAUUGCAAGAAGCCCCAUGGAUUUAAGGACAUUCAAAAAAAGGGUUUUUUUUGAGGAGGAAGAAACAUGGCCACAUUAAACAAAUCCAUCAACGCAUUCACUUUUUUAGAAAUAUUAAUAUAUGAAAAAAUGCACAUCUUAGAAUUAGGAAAAUUCUUCUUGGUUCUUGUCAGCCUCCAGAAAAACUUGGCUGUCCCGGAAGAUGUGCGAUGUUUGCCCCUGGCUCCGUGUCCCCAUCAUACAGAAGUGGGGAGCACAGGAUGAGGUCACGCUUUUUGCCAACCCCCAAAUAACUCCAAGACGUUGAGGAGAGAGAGCCCUCUGGGCUGUGUGUGGCUCUAUGACAAGGGCCUGUUUAAGUGCAUUCGGUAAGUAGCUAUUUGUUUCAGCCCCAUCUGUGUGCUCGGCAUGGGGCAAACAAGUCACAAAAGUGGGCUCCAUGUUGCCCUCCACAGUGUCCUCUUGCCUGUCUGUAAACUCCUCAAGGGCAGGCCCUGGUAACCACACAUCUACACAGGACCAAGUCACACCUGAACUCUGCCAGGCUGCCUCAGCCUGCCCCCGAGGCGCCCCCUGUCGGUGGGAAGAUGGGCAGGUGGGCUGUGAACCCAUCUGCUAACACAGCAGUGUGAGCUCAGUGUGGCUGAAGAGCUGCCAGAGCUCAGAGGAGGGCUCCAUGAAUCUAGCGGACCAGAGGCGGAGGGUGGGGUCAGUGUGGGGGGAUAGAUCGCUGAGGAGGUGACAUCUGAAGGAUGAAAGAAAUUCCCCAGAGGGAUGGAGGGCAUUCCUAGCAGGGGAACAGCAUGAGCAAAGCUCAAGUCUUGGGAGUACACAGCACAUAGAGGAUGGUAUGGGUAUGAAAGUGUAUGUGUGUGUGUGUGUGAGAGAGAGAGGCUCCUAUUUGUGUUCAUCUAUCUUUCCUUGGUCUCUGGCUUCCCCCGUGAGACCCUUCCCCAGGGCUCUUGGUCUAGCCCUGAACUCUAUGGGCCACUCGUGCUCCCCUCUGGGCUCAGAGCUUCUGCACUUCAGCCCCACAGUGCUUCCCUGUUCCCUCAGCAGCUCCCCGCCUUGACUUUGUUCUUCCUAAGCCUGCCCUCAGCUUGGCCUCCAGAAGGACACUUGAUCCCAUCCCAUGACUGGCGGUGGGGUGCGGCCCUCAGAGCAGCUGCAAGGAUGUUGACUCCAGAUGGAAAGUGUUUCGAGAAUUCUGACGUGACAUCACACCAUCACGACAUUGCGCUGACAGUAACUGAUCUGGGAGUGGCCAGGCAAAGGAAAGCACAAAUGUGACGUUAAACACACAGAGGAGACCCCACAUCAGUGACUCACACAGAUGCUGCCAAGGAUCCAGCUGCUUCACACUGUGCAGACAAGAUGGGGGUCUGCAAGCCCGCGUGCGCCGGCAGGGCCCGAGAAGACUGCUGGAGAUUCUGUUUGCGCAUGAAGACACUGUAGGCUCCUCUGGCAGUCUACACCCAAGAGAGAUGGUGGGGAAGGCUUUGGGGCUGAUGGACCAGCUGUGAGGGACCAAGGACAAUCUUCGGGAAGGGGAGAAGAAGAGCAGGCCUGCCCCAGGUCUGGAGCACCAGAUAUAUAAGGUGAGACCAGAACAGCUUGUACCAGAAGACAAGAAAGUUAUCGAACACCACUGGGGUCAUGUCAAAAGGACUCAGGUGCCGACCUGAAGGAGCUCCCACUGGACAAAAUGGCAUCGUUUGUGCUUCAAAAACAAAACUAAACAAACAAACAAAGACCCUGCAAUGAAUUGAAAUACAUCAAAUAUUUUAAAACUCCAUGAGUUCAAGAUGAUAAUUAAAAAAAGACACUUGGAGGAUGCUUAGAAAAAACCAACUCACUCUUCCAAAAAUUGAUAAAGGGAAAGCGAACUCUGGGGCUUCCCAAUGAUAUUGUGAAGUUGCACAUUCGUUGGAAGGCCUCCCAUGUACUCCCAAGACUCUCCCUCUGGCUUUCUCCAGGCCUAAAUUUCCACCAUUAGAGACUCCUUUCUUUGGGUUAAGAAAUGUCCUGAGUCAAAGCCAAAGUACGCUUGGGAAAAGUUUGUUAACUACUUUGCUCACAGAUUGGGAUGGAGAAAAAGUGGAAAAUCCUAUGGUCCCUGGAGUCCGACAGAUAGGGAUCCAGCCAGAGAGAAGGAGCUGAGGGUCAAAGAACUUGGCAGCAUCAUCCAGGGCAGGAGGACUACCUGGGCUGCCUAUCCAAAGUUCAGCUCCUCAGUAGACACCUCAGGUGGUGUCUGAUCCAGCAGGUGGAAAGAAUGGCAGAAAUAUACAUUUUAUUACACAUCUCAGGUGACUCGGACACAGGUGGUGCUGCCACUGUUUUCCAGGGGACGCUGGACCAGAGCUCCUGGAUCUUUCCUGUUGGCCUGUGUGACUUUCUGCUCCAGCGGCACUGGGCUGUCACAGCUGAGCAAUUCCAGCCUCUGCAAACUUCACCAGGCCCCUCAGCCCGGGAUCUCUUUACUAUUGCCAGGUCCCUUUAAGAUUCCAAGCCCUUCCCUGUGUGGGGAAGCCAGCACCGUGUAGAAGGGACCCAGCCACGUGAGUCCCAGUGUAGGCUCUGAGCUACCUGCCCUCACCCUCUCCCACAGCUUCCUGAGCUGUCCUGACACGCCCAGAUUCUCACGUGACAGUCCGCUCACUCCUGGCCCCUGACGCUUGACAAUAUUUCUUGGGCUUUGCUGGGCCUGGGACCCUGCGUCUCAGCCCAGGCCCCAAGAUGCCCUUGGUCCUGGGGUCCCUCUCUCCUCUCUGAUGCCCUCAUGGGACCCUCAUGGGCAGAAGGCUUUUUGCAGCCCUGCUCACCAGCUCUGUGCCUCAGCCAGAUUUGUGGCUGGGCUACCCUCACUCCGGAGUCGGCCAACCACCCUCACCAUCCUCCUUCCCACCCUACCACCUCCUCCAGCCCCCUCCUAUCCCUUGGGCUCUUCCAGUCCCUCCCCCCCCUGCUGAGAUGAGCACCCGUAUUCCAGGCCCGAGUCCAUCCUGCCCUAGUAACACUCCUCAGCCCACCUCUUCCCCAGGGACCCAGCGCCCAGUUUGGGGCUGACCUUCUGAAUCCCACCCCCAUACGCCCAGCCUUGACUGACGGGCCCAGGCCAAGCUUCCCUGUUCUGACCCCUGGCCUUUGCCUGACCCCAUGGGCAGGCCUGGGUGCCAGCCUCUGCCCUCCCUGGCUGGCCUGUCCCCCUGCCGCCUGAGCCUGGGUCGUGACAUCUUUCCACCUAGCGGCUUUUAUUUUGAGAAGGCAAACACAGCGGCACCCACAGGCAUGUGCACACACACACAUGCACCCCCUCCAUGCCCCGACACCUCACGCACUGGCAUGAAAAUCAGGCUGGCCAUGUUUAUUUUUCUUCCGUUAAUUUCCCCUGUAGAACGAACACCCGUCCUGUAACACCCCCCACCCCCUUCUUGCAGAUCCGAGGCUCCCCCCGCCCUCUUCUGUGUCCUCCCUUCGCAGCUGUGAAUGAGAACAGAGUGAGUCUUUUAGCAGGAGGCAGCGGCCUGAAUGAACCGAUCGUGGCCUCAAAGCCAGCGGGGAAGGAGGGGUUGUGAGCAUGUGUGUUUGCGUCUCAGAAACUCUUUGCACACCCCCAAGCUCAGAUUUUUCCAUGUGCCUUGGAGCGAAUGCCUCCCCAUCUCACCCCCUCCUUUUCAAUUUUAUUUUAUUUCAUUUUUGGUCCCAUGCAUUUUGUUUUCUGUUUUCUACAAGGGAGCCUGAAUCGGGGCCUCAGAAAAACAAGGCUGAGCUGCCAACUGGAAAUGUUUGCUCUGGGGGCGAGUUCGGAGGCUGGCGUCAGGCGGGGCCAGAUCCGUGCCAGCGGAAUGUGAUUUGGGGGGGAAGCUGCAGGUCACUCAAUCGCUGGCAGCCUGCCCGGGAGCAACUGGAUGCUUUCUGGGCUGUGUGUGAGGCAGUGGCUGGGCCCCUUGGCGGUGCUGCCAGGUUUCACCGAGUCAGGCCUCCCCUACCGCCUGGCCUGCCUUACCAAGGACCCACAUGCCCUCCCGCACUCCCCAGCCUGCCCUUUCACAUACCAAGUUUUUU